RNAcentral lists this ribosomal RNA (254 nucleotides) under uncultured bacterium. RNAcentral's name for it is "partial 16S ribosomal RNA". It matches the Rfam family "Bacterial small subunit ribosomal RNA", at positions 524 to 776 of the family's 1533-position model. The record is from RNAcentral.
UACGUAGGGGCCUAGCGUUGUCCGGAUUUAUUGGGCGUAAAGAGCUCGUAGGCGGUUCGGCAAGUCGGAUGUGAAAUCUCCACGCUCAACGUGGAGGGGCCAUUCGAAACUGCCGUGACUCGAGUCCGGUAGGGGAGUGUGGAAUUCCCGGUGUAGCGGUGAAAUGCGCAGAUAUCGGGAGGAACACCAGUAGCGAAGGCGGCACUCUGGACCAGCACUGACACUGAGGCACGAAAGCGUGGGGAGCAAACAGG